Long non-coding RNA from Rosa chinensis, 1036 nucleotides. RefSeq lists it as uncharacterized. Lineage: Eukaryota; Viridiplantae; Streptophyta; Magnoliopsida; Rosales; Rosaceae. The record is from RefSeq and is a predicted model, not a curated record. The transcript is spliced from 5 exons.
UUUCAUCGGAAUAGAUGUGCCGUCGAUUUUUCUCUCUCCCAUCUGUUUGUUUUCCUUGGGCUGUGUAUGGGAUUUAUGGGGUGUUGUUGGCCUAUUCAAACCAAGUCCACUCUCCGCUUAUAUAGGCCCAAUAAACUGUUUUUAUUAAGCGGCAUGCAUAUACGCACAGGUUUUCUCGGCGCCGGCGGGCAAUAGAGUAAAAGAGACAGAGCUAGAGAAACCAAGAACGGCAGAGAUACGACAAGCCUGUCACAAUGGGUCGUAUGCACAGUAGAGGAAAGGGAAUUUCGGCUUAGGCUCUGCCCUACAAGAGGACCCCUCCUAGCUGGUUGAAGAUCUCAACUCAGGAUGUUGAGGGAACAUCUACAAGUUUGCCAAGAAGGGUCUGACACCGUCUCAAAUUGGUGUUAAUUCUUCAUGAUUCUCAUGGGAUUGAAGAGUGCUACUGGAAGCAAGAUAUUGCUUAUACUGAAGGCUGAUGGUCUUGCUUGAAAUACCUGAGGAUUUAUACCAUCCCAUUAAGAAAGCAUACUCAAUUAGGAAUCAUUUGGAGAGAGACAGGAAAGAGAAGGAUUCCAAAUUUAGGCUAAUUCUGGUGGAGGGCAGGAUCCAUUGUUUAGCUCGUUAUUAUAAGAAGACAAGGAAGUUUCCACCAGUUUGGAAAUAUGAAUCUACCACAGUCUACCACAGCCAGCACUCUUGUGGCUUAGGUUGGAGAUGAUUGGCCCAGAUUUGGAGGCUUCCCAUUGAAAGAGCAAAACUAGUUGUUAGUUGCUACUUUUGUUUGCUUCAAUUUGAGAGCUCCUUCAUGAAUCAUGGCAGAAGUUCUUGCUAGAUAGUAUUCAAAUCAUUCGAUUUAGUUGUUUCUAAUGCCCCUUUAAUAUAAUCGGUGGGUAAGAAUACAUAGAUUUUUUGGAAACUCCUGAUAUUAUUUUGGGACGUUCUCUCCAUGCUUAUUGUACUCUGGGGUUAAGGCUUUAUGUCCCCCCCCCUGUAUUUGACAGUUUCAUUAAUUAAGGCCUAAGGGCCGCCGCAC